Molecule: ribosomal RNA, 498 nt
Filed under: uncultured bacterium
Lineage: Bacteria
Description: partial 16S ribosomal RNA
Rfam family: Bacterial small subunit ribosomal RNA
Source: RNAcentral
AUUGAACGCUGGCGGCAUGCCUUACACAUGCAAGUCGAACGGUAACAGGUCUUCGGAUGCUGACGAGUGGCGAACGGGUGAGUAAUACAUCGGAACGUGCCUAGUAGUGGGGGAUAACUACUCGAAAGAGUGGCUAAUACCGCAUGAGAUCUACGGAUGAAAGCAGGGGAUCGCAAGACCUUGUGCUACUAGAGCGGCCGAUGGCAGAUUAGGUAGUUGGUGGGAUAAAAGCUUACCAAGCCGACGAUCUGUAGCUGGUCUGAGAGGACGAUCAGCCACACUGGGACUGAGACACGGCCCAGACGCCUACGGGAGGCAGCAGUGGGGAAUUUUGGACAAUGGGCGAAAGCCUGAUCCAGCAAUGCCGCGUGCAGGAUGAAGGCCUUCGGGUUGUAAACUGCUUUUGUACGGAACGGAAAGCCCCGGGUUAAUACCCUGGGGUCAUGACGGUACCGUAAGAAUAAGCACCGGCUAACUACGUGCCAGCCGCCGCGGUAA